Molecule: long non-coding RNA, 2333 nt
Filed under: Lactuca sativa (garden lettuce)
Lineage: Eukaryota; Viridiplantae; Streptophyta; Magnoliopsida; Asterales; Asteraceae
Description: long non-coding RNA (LSAT_LNC000968)
Source: RNAcentral
UUUAAUUUCUCAUAAUAGAAAUAAAAUACCAUAUACAAAAAAUACAAUCCAUUGCAUAAUAUAAAAUAAAAUUUCAUACUCAAAAAAUAAAAUAAAUUACACAAAUUGUAAUGUCAUACAAAGAAUCAUUCAAAUGUUAAACAAAAAUAAAACAUUGCUAACAUGGGUUAUACAUUCCUAUAAAACUAACAAAUAAUCAUACAACUCUUUUUCUUACUGGAAAGGAAUGUCAAACAUGAUUACAAGUCUCCCUUAAUCUUGAUUACUCACCUGCUUAAGUAGAAUGUUGUUGUUGAGAAGGUUACCUAGCAACAGAGAAAAACACAACACCUCUCCCACAAUCACAACAUCAUUUACAGAGAAAGGUUGUCAAUUACUUUCAUUAAGACUUUCAUUCAAUCACAAAAAUAUUAAAUAAAAGGGUGAAACAGUAACUUACUUGUGAUAAGUUGAUCUCCCUUAGAGCAAACACAGCUAAAGCAUUGAACAAGACCCUAUUUCCCUCUUCUUUUAAAGUUUCCAGAAUGUUUAGAAUGCUCUCCUUACUCAUAAUAUAUAAUCAAUAAUCAGAUUGAAUUAUAUAUUAUGAGUAAGUAAUAAAGUACAUGUAACACAAUAAAGUAUUAUUAAGGAACUUAUGAGUUCAAAUAUUAUUUUUUACACUCAGAUGCCAAAAUAUUUUAUGUUAUUCUUCUACAAGUUGAGAACCAACUCAAACAUGAAAGAUAAUAGUCCAUCUAGCAGCUUUUAAGUACAACCUUGUGAUAGGAAAAAAUGAAAGUAGGAUGCUAUAAUACACAAAGCAAUACAAGUACAAUGAUAAGGAAUUAUUUUUACUUGUUAUUGUGCAAGGUCUUAAUUUGUAAAAGUUGUUUCAACUUGCGAAUGAUAAGGAAGAAAGGCAUUGAAUAUUACCAAGGUAUGAAUUGUGGGGUCCAGGAGAAGCUUCCGGAUGGUAUUGAAGAGACAUAAGCUUUUGUUGAGGGAGGCAAGACCUGUACAGAUUCCAUUCGUAAUUGUGAUUCACAUGAUGCAUGCAAGGUAAUGCACAUGAGCCCAAUCAAUUUAGAUUCAGAUUAUGUAGUUUACCUUUGUUUUUGUCAGCUUCAAGAAAUAAAGUGAAAGUUGAUGUUAACUUUAAGUGUAUCUUCUUCUUCUGUGUCCAGUAACAGCACACACAACAGAACAAAUAACAGAUUUAUGUGUUUACAACACAAAACACAAAACUUUCCAUAUUCAAUAUAUAUAAUUAUAUCCAUCCUACAACAAAUUAAAAGGCAGAGAGAUUAGAGAAUAGAGAUUAUUCACCCAUAUCAANNNNNNNNNNNNNNNNNNNNNNNNNNNNNNNNNNNNNNNNNNNNNNNNNNNNNNNNNNNNNNNNNNNNNNNNNNNNNNNNNNNNNNNNNNNNNNNNNNNNGUAACCUUACGACGCGCGUGUUAAUGACACGCAAUGCGUAUCAAGAAAGCCCCUGUCAAGAAAGGCCAUGUCAUAAAUGAAGAUGACACACAUUUUUGCGUAUCGUAAAUUUAAAUGUUUAAAAAAAAUAAAUUUAUAUAUUUAUUAAUUUUUAAAUUAAAUUUGCAUUUAAUUUCUCAUAAUAGAAAUAAAAUACCAUAUACAAAAAAUACAAUCCAUUGCAUAAUAUAAAAUAAAAUUUCAUACUCAAAAAAUAAAAUAAAUUACACAAAUUGUAAUGUCAUACAAAGAAUCAUUCAAAUGUUAAACAAAAAUAAAACAUUGCUAACAUGGGUUAUACAUUCCUAUAAAACUAACAAAUAAUCAUACAACUCUUUUUCUUACUGGAAAGGAAUGUCAAACAUGAUUACAAGUCUCCCUUAAUCUUGAUUACUCACCUGCUUAAGUAGAAUGUUGUUGUUGAGAAGGUUACCUAGCAACAGAGAAAAACACAACACCUCUCCCACAAUCACAACAUCAUUUACAGAGAAAGGUUGUCAAUUACUUUCAUUAAGACUUUCAUUCAAUCACAAAAAUAUUAAAUAAAAGGGUGAAACAGUAACUUACUUGUGAUAAGUUGAUCUCCCUUAGAGCAAACACAGCUAAAGCAUUGAACAAGACCCUAUUUCCCUCUUCUUUUAAAGUUUCCAGAAUGUUUAGAAUGCUCUCCUUACUCAUAAUAUAUAAUCAAUAAUCAGAUUGAAUUAUAUAUUAUGAGUAAGUAAUAAAGUACAUGUAACACAAUAAAGUAUUAUUAAGGAACUUAUGAGUUCAAAUAUUAUUUUUUACACUCAGAUGCCAAAAUAUUUUAUGUUAUUCUUCUACAAGUUGAGAACCAACUCAAACAUGAAAGAUAAUAGUCCAUCUAGCAGCUUUU